Molecule: non-coding RNA, 273 nt
Organism: Pelobates cultripes (western spadefoot toad)
Lineage: Eukaryota; Metazoa; Chordata; Amphibia; Anura; Pelobatidae
Source: the annotation of a GenBank genome assembly
GUAUGUCUAGGGGAAUAUUCACUAAGCAUUGCACAGGUAAAACAAUUCAUUCUCCAUUAGAACUGUUUCUAGGAAUUACUGCAGAUCACAAACAAUCCAAGGAUACAACCAAAAUGUUACAUAGUCAAACGUUGAGCAAACCUUACAAAGAAUUGGGGCCAACACGGAUUGCAGAUACGUAAUAAGAGUUUGUUGCAGAGAGAAGGUCUGACCAAAAAACAAUAAAUGUACCCAUGAAAAAGACAUUUCACUUCCACUAGUUCACAGAUACGU